AUUCAGGUAGUUUAAAGAAAAAAAAUAUUGAUUUGUGGUAUCAAAGAAAUUAAUAAUAAUAUUCUGAAUUU
Molecule: transfer RNA, 71 nt
Filed under: Tenuilapotamon latilum
Lineage: Eukaryota; Metazoa; Arthropoda; Malacostraca; Decapoda; Potamidae
Description: tRNA-His
Source: RNAcentral